ACGGAGGAUCCAAGCGUUAUCCGGAUUUAUUGGGUUUAAAGGGUGCGUAGGUGGCUUUUUAAGUCAGGGGUGAAAGACGGUAGCUUAACUAUCGCAGUGCCUUUGAUACUGAAGAGCUUGAAUACACUAGAGGUAGGCGGAAUGUGACAAGUAGCGGUGAAAUGCAUAGAUAUGUCACAGAACACCAAUUGCGAAGGCAGCUUACUAUGGUGUUAUUGACACUGAGGCACGAAAGCGUGGGGAUCAAACAGGAUUAGAUACCCUGGUAGUCCACGCCCUAAACGAUGAAUACUCGAUGUUGGCGAUAUACGGUCAGCGUCUAAGCGAAAGCGUUAAGUAUUCCACCUGGGGAGUACGCCCGCAAGGGUG
Molecule: ribosomal RNA, 369 nt
Filed under: uncultured bacterium
Lineage: Bacteria
Description: bacterial SSU rRNA
Rfam family: Bacterial small subunit ribosomal RNA
Source: RNAcentral